GAACGCUAGCGGCAGGCUUAACACAUGCAAGUCGAGGGGCAGCGGGUAUGUUAGCAAUAACAUAUGCCGGCGACCGGCGCAAGGGUGCGUAACGCGUGAGUAACAUGCCCGUAUCAGGAGGAUAACCCGGAGAAAUCCGGACUAAUACUGCAUAAUAUUUUCAGACGGCAUCGUUUGGGAAUUAAAGUUUCGACGGAAACGGAUAGGCUCGCGUGACAUUAGCUAGAUGGCGGGGUAACGGCCCACCAUGGCGACGAUGUCUAGGGGUUCUGAGAGGAAGGUCCCCCACACUGGAACUGAGACACGGUCCAGACUCCUACGGGAGGCAGCAGUGAGGAAUAUUGGUCAAUGGUCUGACGACUGAACCAGCCAUGCCGCGUGAAGGUGACGGCCCUAUGGGUCUUAAACUUCUUUUGCAAGGGAGCAAUAAGGCGUACGUGUACGUCGAUGAGAGUACCUUGCGAAUAAGCAUCGGCUAACUCCGUG
This 486-nucleotide ribosomal RNA is filed under the name uncultured bacterium. Its description in RNAcentral is "bacterial SSU rRNA". It matches the Rfam family "Bacterial small subunit ribosomal RNA", at positions 31 to 507 of the family's 1533-position model. The record is from RNAcentral.